RNAcentral lists this ribosomal RNA (972 nucleotides) under Bacillus cereus. RNAcentral's name for it is "bacterial LSU rRNA". It matches the Rfam family "Bacterial large subunit ribosomal RNA", at positions 1 to 964 of the family's 2925-position model. Lineage: Bacteria; Bacillati; Bacillota; Bacilli; Caryophanales; Bacillaceae. The record is from RNAcentral.
UUUGGUUAAGUUAGAAAGGGCGCACGGUGGAUGCCUUGACACUAGGAGUCGAUGAAGGACGGGACUAACGCCGAUAUGCUUCGGGGAGCUGUAAGUAAGCUUUGAUCCGAAGAUUUCCGAAUGGGGAAACCCACCAUACGUAAUGGUAUGGUAUCCUUAUCUGAAUACAUAGGGUAAGGAAGACAGACCCAGGGAACUGAAACAUCUAAGUACCUGGAGGAAGAGAAAGCAAAUGCGAUUUCCUGAGUAGCGGCGAGCGAAACGGAACAUAGCCCAAACCAAGAGGCUUGCCUCUUGGGGUUGUAGGACAUUCUAUACGGAGUUACAAAGGAACGAGGUAGACGAAGCGACCUGGAAAGGUCCGUCGUAGAGGGUAACAACCCCGUAGUCGAAACUUCGUUCUCUCUUGAAUGUAUCCUGAGUACGGCGGAACACGUGAAAUUCCGUCGGAAUCUGGGAGGACCAUCUCCCAAGGCUAAAUACUCCCUAGUGAUCGAUAGUGAACCAGUACCGUGAGGGAAAGGUGAAAAGCACCCCGGAAGGGGAGUGAAAGAGAUCCUGAAACCGUGUGCCUACAAAUAGUCAGAGCCCGUUAACGGGUGAUGGCGUGCCUUUUGUAGAAUGAACCGGCGAGUUACGAUCCCGUGCGAGGUUAAGCUGAAGAGGCGGAGCCGCAGCGAAAGCGAGUCUGAAUAGGGCGUUUAGUACGUGGUCGUAGACCCGAAACCAGGUGAUCUACCCAUGUCCAGGGUGAAGUUCAGGUAACACUGAAUGGAGGCCCGAACCCACGCACGUUGAAAAGUGCGGGGAUGAGGUGUGGGUAGCGGAGAAAUUCCAAUCGAACCUGGAGAUAGCUGGUUCUCCCCGAAAUAGCUUUAGGGCUAGCCUUAAGUGUAAGAGUCUUGGAGGUAGAGCACUGAUUGGACUAGGGGUCCUCAUCGGAUUACCGAAUUCAGUCAAACUCCGAAUGCC